GCUUUUUCUUUCACCGGAGCUUGCUCCACCGAAAGAAAAAGAGUGGCGAACGGGUGAGUAACACGUGGGUAACCUGCCCAUCAGAAGGGGAUAACACUUGGAAACAGGUGCUAAUACCGUAUAACACUAUUUUCCGCAUGGAAGAAAGUUGAAAGGCGCUUUUGCGUCACUGAUGGAUGGACCCGCGGUGCAUUAGCUAGUUGGUGAGGUAACGGCUCACCAAGGCAACGAUGCAUAGCCGACCUGAGAGGGUGAUCGGCCACACUGGGACUGAGACACGGCCCAGACUCCUACGGGAGGCAGCAGUAGGGAAUCUUCGGCAAUGGACGAAAGUCUGACCGAGCAACGCCGCGUGAGUGAAGAAGGUUUUCGGAUCGUAAAACUCUGUUGUUAGAGAAGAACAAGGAUGAGAGUAGAACGUUCAUCCCUUGACGGUAUCUAACCAGAAAGCCACGGCUAACUAC
RNAcentral lists this ribosomal RNA (464 nucleotides) under Enterococcus casseliflavus. RNAcentral's name for it is "bacterial SSU rRNA". It matches the Rfam family "Bacterial small subunit ribosomal RNA", at positions 66 to 504 of the family's 1533-position model. The record is from RNAcentral. Lineage: Bacteria; Bacillati; Bacillota; Bacilli; Lactobacillales; Enterococcaceae.